Non-coding RNA from Acanthosepion pharaonis, 114 nucleotides. The record is from the annotation of a GenBank genome assembly. NCBI's taxonomy places the organism in Eukaryota, Metazoa, Mollusca, Cephalopoda, Sepiida, Sepiidae.
UUACGACCAUAUCAUGUUGUGACACCGGUUCCCGUACGAUCACCGAAGUUAAGCAACAUUGAGUGUGAUCAGUACCUAGAAGGGUGACCGCUUGGGAAUACCAGGUGCUGUAAG